Molecule: RNA transcript, 6664 nt
Organism: Callithrix jacchus (white-tufted-ear marmoset)
Lineage: Eukaryota; Metazoa; Chordata; Mammalia; Primates; Cebidae
Source: RefSeq, a predicted model, not a curated record
UGUAGCUGGGCGUGGUGGUUCACGCCUGUAAUCCAAGCACUUUGGAGGCCAAGGCGGGCAGAUUACCUGAGGUCGGGAGUUCAAGACCAGCCUGACCAACAUGGUGAAAAUCCGUCUUUAAAAACAAACAAAAAAUUAAUUAAUUAAUUUUAAAAAUUGUGUUCUGGUUAAUUAAAGAGAUAAGUUAUUUGUUAUUAUUAUUAUUGAGAUAGAGUUUCACUCUUCUUGCCCAGGCUGGAGUACAACAGCACCAUCUCAGUUUACCGCACACUCCGCCUCCUGGGUUCAAGCGAUUCUCCUGCCUCAGGCUCCCCAGUAGUUGGGAUUACAGGCAUGCGCCACCACACCCAGCUAAUUUUUCUCCAUGUUGGUCAGGCUGGUCUCAAACUUCUGGCCUCAGGAGAUCUGCCUACCUUGACCUCUCAAUUCCCGUAGCUGGGAUUACAGGCAUGAGCCAUGAAGCCCAGCAAUAAGUUAUUUUUAACAGAAGAACUACAGCUAACAAUUUCAUGAGGAGUUAUUGAAAUAGAAAACCACCAUCAUUAUAAUUCAUGCUGAAAAUAAGAAAUAAGUUGUUGGAGGCCAGGCGCAGUGGCUCACGCCUGUAAUCCCAGCACUUUGGGAGGCCAAGGCGGGUGGAUCACAAGGUCAAGAGAUCGAGAUCAUCCUGGCCAACAUGGUGAAACCCUGUCUCUACUAAAAAUACAAAAAUUAGCUGGGCAUGGUGGCACGUGCCUGUAAUCCCAGCUACUCAGGAGGCUGAGGCAGGAGAAUUGCCUGAACCCAGGAGGCGGAGGUUGCAGUGAGCUGAGAUUGCACCAUUGCACUCCAGCCUGGGUAACAAGAGCAAAGCUCCGUCUCAAAAAAAAAAGAAAUAAGUUGUUGGAAAAUUUAUGAUAAAUUAAUCAGGCUGACACUUGAACCCACUAAUCUUGACUUCAACCAAAGUAGGACAACUGAUCAUCACGUUUCCCCUAAUAUGAGGCAAUAGAAAGUAUACAACACAGGCCGUAUACUGUGGCUCAUGCCUGUAAUUACAGCACUUUGGGAGGUUAAGGUGGGCGGAUCAUGAGGGCAGGAGUUCGAGACCAGCCUGGCCAACAUACCAAAACCCCAUCUCUACUAAAAAUACAAAAAUUAGCCGGACAUGGUGGCAGGUGCCUUACCAGCUACUCAGGAGGUUGAGGCAGAAGAAUUGCUUGAACCCUGGAGGUGAAGGUUGCAGUGAGGCGAGAUUGUGCCACUGCACUCUAGCCUAGGGGACAGAGCGAGACUCCAUCUCAAAAAAAAAAGGUGAAAUAAAAAAAUAAAAUAAUAAUAAUAAUAAUAAAGGGCUGGGUGCAGUGUCUCAUGCCUGUAAUCCUAGCACUUUGGGAGGCUGAGGUGGGCAGAUCACCUGAAGUUGGACAUUUGAGACCAGCCUGACCAACAUGGAGAAAUCCCAUAUGUACUAAAAACACAAAAUUAGCUGGGCGUGGUGCCACAUGCCUGUAAUUCCAUCUACUUGGGAGGCUGAGGCAGGAGAAUUGCUUGAUCCGGGAGAUGGAGGUUACGGUGAGCUGAGAUCAUGCCAUUGCACUCCAGCCUGGGCAACAAGAGCAAAAAAACUACUUCUCAAAAAUUAAAAAAAAAAAAGAAAGAAAAUAUAUAACACAACCUUUGAAGUAUUUAUUCAAAGGAUGUGAAGCAGAAUCUAGUUGUCAGUUUGUGUAAGCCUAGAAGCAGACCCUGAGACUAGGAUUCACUCUAAGUAGUUUAUUUGGGAGGCGACCCCAGAAAACUUCCAUAAUGGAGUGGGAAAGUAAGACAGGUCCACUGUUGGCAGCUGGAGCUCAGAUCCACUGGGGAACUUUGACAGACGGCGUAGAACAAAUUUCAGAGCUGCCCCAACUGUGAGAUAAGGAAGCUGGGGUCUUUAUCCACCAAAUCCCUGGCUAUUGGCUGAGGUUUGCUGCUGGGGAUGUUAAUUCUCCUGCAUUCCUGACUUGCUUAGAGCAUAAGUUAGUGUGCUUCAUGGUGAGGAAAAGCCCUUGGGCAGUAAGAUGCCAAUCUUUGGCAUGUAGAAAUGAAUUCCCAGGGAGAUGGAGAAGUAUCUGGAGUGUGCCACGUCAAUCAGUACUCUGGACCUAACACCACUUCACAGCAGAAUAAAUGCUGAACAAUGUCAUAUGAAGACAAGUGGCCAAAUCCGGGGUGUGAGAAAUUCUCCAGGACAAAUGGUGGAGCCUCCUCCACAAAUUAAUUACUUUAGAAAAUACGGUGGGAGGGUUAUAAUCAAAACUUAGUCUAUAAUGUAAGACUUGACUGAGAGAUAUUUCAACCGAAUGCAAUGUGUAAAUUUUGGAACCUCAUUUAAAUUUAAAAACUGUAUUUUUUGAAAUUAUCAGAAAAAAAUUGAACAUGGACUAUUAGAAGAUAUGAAGAAAUUGCUGUUGGUUUAGAGCGUGAUCAUGAUAUUGUGGCAAUGUUAUUUUUAAACAUCUUUAUCUACUAGAGACUUUUAAAAAUAGAUGAAGUGAAUAUGGCAGAACGUUAACAGUUGUUAAAUUGAGGUGACAGGUGUGUGGAAUUCAUUACACAAUUCUGCCUACCUUUCUGUCUGUUGAAAACGUUAUAAAAGAGGAGAAAGGGAAAUGUAAAGAGGGAGGAGGGAGCACACUAGACUCCCUGGGUUCGAAUCCUGACUGCCGCUUUCUAGCUGAGUAAAUUCGAGGGAGUUAAACUUGCUGUGCCUCAGUUUCUUUAUCUGCAAAUUAGGCUAGUAGCAGUGACUAAUUUUUAAGAUUGGAGUAAGGAUGAACUGAAUUAGUAUCAGUAACGUGCUUAGGACAGUGCUCAGUAAAUAUUAGCUGUUAUAACUACAUCGAGAGUGAGUUUCAGUUUAUAACACAGAGGGAAUGCUGACUUCUGGUCCAUUCCCUGGGUAAGGGGCGUAGUUAGGUAAGAACGGGCAGCUCUCCCUGAAAACAUGUGGUUGAGAGUGGAGCAGUGCUCAAGGGGACAGAGGUCUCAGGAGGAGGAGACUGUGGUCUGAAAAGACAUUUGGAGAGGAGGUGGAACUUCCGAGGUGUGUCCCACUACCAGGAAAGAGGUGGUUUUUAAACGGCAAAGAGCGAUUCAUACACACAGGGCAGCGUGGGAGGGGGAAUGACGCAAAGCCCAAAGCUUUCCCGAGUGCCAGGCUGGGAGACCACCUGGGAGAGGAGUGGGGAGUGGUGGCUGGUGUUUCCUUCACUCCACCUUGCCACGGGGGACCCAAGGCUCUGAAACAGGAAGCAUCGGCUAGUGUGUACUGUUAAUUAAUACCCAUUAGUGCACCCUGACAGUGAGUGGACAGUGCCCAUCUCCCUAAGUGAGGCUGGCCAUACAUGUAAUAACCCUCGUUCUAGAAGAUGACCGGUGUGCAAGUCAAAGAGAUCUAGGGCCAAAGUUAUAUCUUCCUGCCUCAACCCAAGCCUCCAAAACCAAAGGAAGCAUUAAUGUCCCCCCCUGGAAAACAGCCAGUCACCUCAAUACACUUAGCCAAAGUGAGAAUCAGCAGGGUUUGCAGAAUGGCUUUAGAGAGUAGUUCGGGUUCAUCUCCCUCCCUUGGAGCCCCUGACAGGGUAGAAAUCCCUGAGAGUUCACCCCUCCUGACUCCUGGGUGGAGUACUGGGGUUUUUGGAUUUGAGGGAGAAAACUUGCUAGCACUCUUCAAGCAGCCUGCUGGACCCUUGGAGAAUUCUCGGGGCCCAGGAAGCCCAGGUCACUUAAAAAUGCUGCUGUUUCUGCUUCCUCCCAUCCUCCACCUCAAACAGGCCGUUUUCUGUCUGUUGGAUUUGCGUGCCUUUUGGGUGAAACCAGCCUUGGUACACAUAUUCCCGGCAGCUUGGGAAUGAAUGGCGAGAGCAGCAUGGUACAAUGGAAUGAAGUUUGAAUUUGCAGUUGUAAAAACUGGUUUCAAGUCCCAGUCCUGCCACUUACCUACUUGUUUGUUUGUUUGUUUGUUUAUUUAUUUUGAGAUGGAGCCUCGCUAUGUCGCCAGGCUGGAGUGCAGUGGUGUGAUCUCGGCUCACUGCAACCUCUACCUCCCAGGUUCAAGUGAUUCUCCUGACUCAGCCUCCCGAGUAGCUGGGAUUACAGGCACGCACCACCACGCCCAGCUAAUUUUUUUUUUGUAUUUUUAAUAGAGAUGUUUUGUGUUUGCGUGUGUGUGUGUGUGUAUUUUUAGUAGACAUGGGGUUUCACCAUGUUGACCAGGAUAGUCUUGACAUCGUGAUCCAUCCACCUUAGCCUCCCAAAGUGCUAGGAUUACAGGCAUGAGCCACUGUGCUGGGGUUGUUUGUUUACUUACCUUGGGCAAGUCAGUUAACCUCUCUGAGCCUCUGUUUUCUCAUUUGUAAAAUGGGAAUAAUACGAAUAUCUUGAUUACACAGGGUUUUUGUGAGAUCAAGCGAGAUAAUGGGAGAGCAAAGAAAAAUUCAAAACUCAAUUUUAUGCAGAACUCCAAUAUAUAAAACAGAAGAAAAUGGUGUUAUGUACGACUAUGUUUCCCUCAGCUUAUCUGCAGUUUCACUUUCAGAAAGCGAAAACCAGUGUCAUGGUUUCAGUUACAACCACAGUCAAAAACUAUUAAAUGAAGACCUCCAGAAAUAAUUCAUUAGUUUUAAAUCGUGCACCACUCUGAGCAGCCUGAUGAAAUAUCUUACCAUCCCACGCCAUCCUGCCCAGGAUAUGAAUUAUCCUUUGUCCAGGAUAUCCACUACCAGUUCCCAGGUCGCUUAGUGGCCUUCUAGGUUAUCAGAUCAACUGUCAAGGUAUCACAAUGCUUGUGUCAAGUAACCCUUAUUUUACUCCAUAAUUGCCCUAAAGUGCAACAGCAGUCAUAACAGCAAUUUGAAUAUGCUUUAUAUUAAUGACAAAUAGGCCGGAGUGCUUCCCUUAAGUGAAAAGUUAAAAGUUCUUGACUUAAGGAUAGGAAAAAAACCAUCUGCUGAGGUUGCUUACAUCUACAAUAAGAAUGAACCUUCCUUUCAUGAAAUUGAGACAAAGGAAAAAGGAAGUUAUGCUAGUUUUGUUGUCAAAUCUCAAACUGCAAAACUUAUGGCCACAAUGCACGAUAAGUACUUAGCUGAGACAGAUAGAGGGUGUGGUACUAUUUUUCAAGAAUCCACUGAGGGUCUUGGAACAUAUCUCCCACAGGUAAGAGGGGACGACUGUAUUAACAUAUUAAAGAAGAUAACUCUAAUUCAAGAGGUUGCUUUGAUGAAUAGGUAAAUUGAAAUUGAGAUGUUAGAUAAUAGUUACAAUCUUAUGUGUCCUAUUUAUUUCUGAAUUUUAUUUUGGUUACUCAGAAAAAAAAAAAUCCUGAUUCCACAAAUAAGUAGUUGUAAGUUGUAGCAGUGUUUUAAAUCUUGCAAUCUUAGGAUCCUCUUUAAUUAUCUUAAUUCCAGAAGCUUCACAGAAGUAUAAUGGGAAUUUUCCCCUCCGUGCUCCAAACCUUAUGAGUUGUGGCGAGGACUUUUUUUUUUUUUAGAUGGAGUCUCGCUCUGUCACCAGGCUGGAGUGCAGUGGCACGAUCUUGGCUCACUACAAUCUUCACCACUUCCUGUGUUCAAUCGAUUCUCCUGCCUCAGCUUCCUGAGUAGCUGGGAUUACAGAUAUAGUCUUGUUCUGUCGCCACGCUGGAGUGCAGUGGUUCGAUCUCAGCUUACUGCAACCUCCGCUUCCCGGUUUCAAGUGAUUCUCCUGCCUCAGCCUCCCAAGUAGCUGGGACUACAGGAAUUGAAUUUUGAUGGAAAAAUAAGCUUUAACCAUUCACUUCAUUCAUCACUGGAAAUUGCUUCAGUCAAAUGGCAGAGAAAACAGCCGAAGAUAAAUGCAGAGCUGAACCGCUUCCUUCAGCCCCUCACCCAGCCUGGGGAGAGCUCCUAUAGCAUCCACGGAAAGGCAACCUUAAAACCACAGAGUAAGUACCACCUCUACCAGCUAGCAGCAGUUACGCUAAAUUUGUCUAAGUGAAGGUAGUUUCCUCCAACUCUAGACUUGGGGAAAGUCAUGUUUCCGAGGUAAGAAAAACAGACAUGAUUAUUUAAUUCACAUAGAGAAAGGAGAAAGACUUUAAACAUGUUACGCACACCUGGCCUUCCCAAGCUGCCUCUCCGUAAGUCCUAGGAUGGAAGAAACAAAUGAUAUAUCGAAGUGACUGGUAUUAGAGAAAGGGUUCUGGUGGCUCUGGCACAUUCAUCAGGCACAGACUUGUGUGCAUGUGCCCACACAUACCACACACACACAAAUACACAGCCUUCAAAAAGAAGCACAGCCUGGGCAUACUUCCUAAAACAUGAUAGUGAUUCAACACGCAUUUAUGCGAGAAGACUUUGUCUAUAAGGGAAACAGAAAGUAGGGUGAAAGUAAGGAUACAUUUUAUGGCCGGGCACGGUGGCUAAUGCCUGUAAUCCCAGCACUUUGGGAGGCCGAAGCGGGAGGAUCACCUGAGGUGGGGAGUUCGAGACCAGCCUGAUCAACAGGGAAAAGCCCCAUCUCUACUAAAAAUACAAAAUUAGCUAGUGUGAUGCAUGCCUGUAAUCCCAGCUACUUGAGAGGCUGAGGCAGGAGGAUCGCUUGAACCCAGGAGGCGGAGGUUGCAGUGAGCUGAGAUCGCACCAUUGCAAUCCAGCCUGGG